CGUCGACAUCGGACGCUAUGGCACACUCGUGCCUUCUGUGCCACCGAAGCCCCGAAGUGCCCAGGCAUAUACCUUCACAUAUAUGCAAUGGCAAGCCCUUCCGUGUGUUCCAAAGGUAAAAUUUAAGCUCGAAAUUAAAGAAGACAUUUCUAGUCAGAAACAAGCAAAAAUGGUGAAUGCAGAGUAUCAGAAGCCCAAGGUACAGAAAUUAUGAGAAGUGUUGAAUGAUUUUAAGGAAAGAAUGGUAUUUGAAGAUGCAAGAUUCUUUAGUGGAAAUCAAGCAAGUCAGUAUAGGUAGAAUACUCUGAGAAAUUAUGCGAGUAAUGGGAUAGCACACAAUGGGUCAGGAAAUGCGUUGUUUUUCUGAAAAACUAAAGCUGAUGACUGUCAUAUCAUGAGUCACUUUAGCAUCAUGAGACUGCUGUUUGAUAAAUUCAGAAACAAACCAAAAAGCAAGCCAUGCAAAAAUAAAAAAAAAACUAUUUAAUGAUGCUCUCUCCACACUGGGAUAAAUAAUAAGAAACGGAUCACGUCUAAUGUGGACAUAUCAGACACCUUGUGAAACACUAAAAGAAAAAUUCAGUUUCAAGCUAUGGCACUUGCCGCAUAGAUGUGGGGGGCCUUGCACCAAUAGUAAUAGUUACCACUGCAUCUAGAAAUUUAAUCAUUCAUGCAGACAAGGAUGAUUCUUUAUAUUUUUGGCUACCACUUCAAAUGCCUCCACUAAGUGUUACAAUGCUGCAUGCAGCCAUACUAAGGAUCUCACAGCAACACUUGCAGGUGAACAGCAAAAGCAGUCAAAGUGCUGGUGUAUUCUGGACACUGUCUUUGAAAACUUUUAGGCAAGAACAGUGCAAGAAACAGACAUAAGAACUGCAUUUAUUUCUAUAAUUCCCCAUUUGAAUGGCCUUUUCUUUUUCCUUCGACAAUGCCUUCGCCUAGCCACAGCAGCUCCCUCAUACAGACUCCGCAAGCCAAGAGGCCGUGGAGGCAAAUGCAGACAGCCAGCACACCUCGAACAGCCACCUUGACUGCGGGUGUGUCACCCUAGUCGCCAAGGAAACAUUUGAGGGAAAGCGACAGGCGAUGUGAACAGCCACUUCUCC
Long non-coding RNA from Dermacentor andersoni, 1106 nucleotides. RefSeq lists it as uncharacterized. NCBI's taxonomy places the organism in Eukaryota, Metazoa, Arthropoda, Arachnida, Ixodida, Ixodidae. The record is from RefSeq and is a predicted model, not a curated record.